This is a ribosomal RNA of 215 nucleotides. It matches the Rfam family "Bacterial small subunit ribosomal RNA", at positions 1 to 213 of the family's 1533-position model.
UUUGUGGAGAGUUUGAUCCUGGCUCAGGAUGAACGCUGGCGGCGUGCUUAACACAUGCAAGUCGAACGGAAAGGCCUCUGCUUGCAGAGGUGCUCGAGUGGCGAACGGGUGAGUAACACGUGGGUGAUCUGCCCUGCACUUCGGGAUAAGCCUGGGAAACUGGGUCUAAUACCGGAUAGGACGAUGGUUUGGAUGCCGUUGUGGAAAGUUUUUUC